CUGAUAUUCAUCUCAGAUUUAUACAGUUUCCAUCAGGAUUUAUGCAAAUUUGGCAUCAUUUUCACUUCUCAUUUAUAUCCUCAGAGCUCCCCAUCUCACUAGACAGAUUCACCUCACAGAAGCCAUCAAAGAUCUAACCAUUCCUCCACUAUGCCGUACUUCCUUCCAGUUCUCUUCACAUUGGCUGUCUUCUCUUCCCGAAGCCUCUCCCAGAUAGUCCUGACCCAGUCAGAUCCAGUGCUGAAAAAAACAGGAGAAGCCCAUAAACUGACGUGUGUUGUCACUGGAUUUAAUGUUAACAGCUACUGGAUGGGUUGGAUCAGACAGAAACCUGGCCAAGGACUGGAAUGGCUUGUUUGGUACUAUGACCCUAGGAAUACCAUCUAUUAUUCAACAACAAUCCAAGGACGCUUUACUCCCUCCAAGGACAGUUCCAAUUUCUAUCUGCAAAUGAACAACCUGAAAACUGAAGACACGGCUGUGUAUUAUUGUGCAAGAGACACAGUGAAAGGAGUCCUAGGAGAACUCAUGCAAAAACCCUUUCUUUAAUGACUGA
This is a non-coding RNA of Crotalus tigris (Tiger rattlesnake), 556 nucleotides long. NCBI's taxonomy places the organism in Eukaryota, Metazoa, Chordata, Lepidosauria, Squamata, Viperidae. The record is from the annotation of a RefSeq genome assembly.